RNAcentral lists this long non-coding RNA (229 nucleotides) under Lathyrus oleraceus (garden pea). RNAcentral describes it as "Pisum sativum (pea) long non-coding RNA (PSAT_LNC005632)". Lineage: Eukaryota; Viridiplantae; Streptophyta; Magnoliopsida; Fabales; Fabaceae. The record is from RNAcentral.
AAGCUAACCAUAAACCUAAUUUAAACUUUUACACGGGCUGAAAUCAUGAGUCGAACAUGAUCUCUUACACGAGUUAAACUCAUAAAUUGGAUCAGGGAAUUAAUACUAAAUCCACCAACCAAUCUUUUAACAAGUUUAGCUUUGAACCCAAACAAACACCCCCUUAAAGGAAAUUAUUCAACCAAGAAAAAUACCUCUUGGUGAAUUUAUAAUAUUACCCAUUUUCCAA